CCCUUAGACGUUCUGGGCCGCACGCGCGCUACACUGACGAAGGCAACGAGCUUUCCUUUACCGAAAGGUACGGGUAAUCUUUUGAAACUUCGUCGUGCUGGGGAUAGAUCCUUGCAAUUUUUGAUCUUAAACGAGGAAUGCCUAGUAAGCGCAAGUCAUCAACUUGCGUUGAUUACGUCCCUGCCCUUUGUACCCACCGCCCGUCGCUACUACCGAUUGAAUGGUUUAGUGAGGCCUUCGGAUCCGCGACUCGUUUGUGGAGAAGUUGGACAAACUCAGUCAUUUAGAGGAAGUAAAAGUCGUAACA
RNAcentral lists this ribosomal RNA (307 nucleotides) under uncultured eukaryote. RNAcentral's name for it is "partial 18S ribosomal RNA". It matches the Rfam family "Eukaryotic small subunit ribosomal RNA", at positions 1470 to 1796 of the family's 1831-position model. The record is from RNAcentral.